This 450-nucleotide long non-coding RNA is filed under the name Panax ginseng (ginseng). RNAcentral's name for it is "long non-coding RNA (PGIN_LNC007521)". The record is from RNAcentral. Lineage: Eukaryota; Viridiplantae; Streptophyta; Magnoliopsida; Apiales; Araliaceae.
AACAAUCAUAACCACUAAAAAACAUCAGAUCUGGGAGAAAUCGUACCUCAAAGUAGCUGUCAGAGCUGUUCUUCGUGAAGAACAGUUCGUGAUGCCUACUUUGGACCUCUAUAACUUGAUGAUCGUGAAAUUUUUACGUGAUCUAUCAAUUCCAGUGUGUAGACAACAUGUAGGACUACAACUCCAACACUUAACAUCAUCAUAACAACAAUAAAUCAAGCAUCUAAAGUAUGGUCAAACCUUGUAAGAAAAAUCAACACUUAGAAAAUUCUGGGCUGCCCAGGAUUUUCCGGUCAAUGCCGGUCAACCCACUUUGACCUUAAAUAACUCUUAAUCCAUAAUAUAUAUGGACCUGAUUCGUUUUGGAGGUUAAAUACCACAUAACAAGCUACACAUAAAAAUCUUUGGAACACAAAACACAGUAACGAUAACCGAGAUAUAAGGCCUGAC